This 70-nucleotide transfer RNA is filed under the name Ictidomys tridecemlineatus (thirteen-lined ground squirrel). RNAcentral's name for it is "Spermophilus tridecemlineatus (thirteen-lined ground squirrel) tRNA". It matches the Rfam family "tRNA". From Rfam's summary of the family: Transfer RNA (tRNA) molecules are approximately 80 nucleotides in length. Their secondary structure includes four short double-helical elements and three loops (D, anti-codon, and T loops). Further hydrogen bonds mediate the characteristic L-shaped molecular structure. tRNAs have two regions of fundamental functional importance: the anti-codon, which is responsible for specific mRNA codon recognition, and the 3' end, to which the tRNAs corresponding amino acid is attached (by aminoacyl-tRNA synthetases). tRNAs cope with the degeneracy of the genetic code in two manners: having more than one tRNA (with a specific anti-codon) for a particular amino acid; and 'wobble' base-pairing, i.e. permitting non-standard base-pairing at the 3rd anti-codon position. Lineage: Eukaryota; Metazoa; Chordata; Mammalia; Rodentia; Sciuridae. The record is from Rfam by way of RNAcentral.
GGGGUUGUAGCUCAGUGGCAGAGCACCUUGCCUGGCAUGGGCAAAGCCCUGGGUUCAAUCCCCAGCACCA